UGCUGAGGUAGCUCAGAUUGGUAGAGCAAUGGACUGAAAAUCCAUCGGUCGUGAGUUCGAUUCUCACCCUUAGCAA
RNAcentral lists this transfer RNA (76 nucleotides) under Spirochaetia bacterium. RNAcentral's name for it is "tRNA-Phe". It matches the Rfam family "tRNA". From Rfam's summary of the family: Transfer RNA (tRNA) molecules are approximately 80 nucleotides in length. Their secondary structure includes four short double-helical elements and three loops (D, anti-codon, and T loops). Lineage: Bacteria; Pseudomonadati; Spirochaetota; Spirochaetia. The record is from RNAcentral.